GUCUAUUAAUAUUAAAUAGAAAAUCAAUAUCGAGUAAUAUGAUUUUUAUCGGAAUGGUAGCCACACAUGGAACUACACAUUUGCUACAUUUUACCUAAAUAUUUUAGUUUCUGCUAUGAAAAACUGCAUGGUAUGUGUUACGAACCUGUUUUGGUGUUGGGGCAAGGCCGGCUUUGCCCCAACACCAAAACAGGUUUGUAACAAUAAUGGCGCCCAAUGUAAGACAAAUUUAUGAGUCGCAGUCCGUUCUCGAACACGAAAGUGGGAGAGUACGGCUGCGAAUCAUAAAGGUCGAAGAGAUUAUAAAUGUCCAGCCGAGAGGAACGAUCUCGAGUGGUAGUCUGCAGUCAGGGUCCGUCUGUGUUCCGGUGGCCUGUGAGGAGCUUUGAAGGCUGGCUCGCAGAUGCACGGCACUGAGGGAUCUGUAAAUGUAGGAAUCCACAAAGUAAAUUGUUUUUUUUUAGUUUGAGUUUAAACUUAUCUGACAGAGGGAAGCCGGAGCUCUCAAAGGGGUGAGGUUGGCACUGGCUGAGGAGAGUUCUCAAGCCAGUUUGCAACCGACCCGUUGCCUGGUGGACAAAAGAGAGCCGGAAAAGAAAAAAUACCCGAAGUUAGAUAAGAUGAAGUUUGUUUUGUUGUUCUAUGGUUGUAUCUAAACUUAGCUGACAGAGGGAAGCCGGAGCUCUCAAGGGGGUAAGUUUUGGCACUGGCUGAGGAGAGUCCUCAAGCCAGUUAGCAACCGACCCGUUGCCUGGUGGACAGAAGAGAGCCUGGAAAGGAAAAAAAUACCCGAAGUUAGUUAAGUUCGUGUAGUUUUUUUGUGCAGCUUCCCCUACUUACCGCUGGAGGACACCGGGAAAGUAGUAUCUCGUAGAGAUUUGUUUUACUCGAGGUGGCCCGUGGGGACAUCAAGUCGGCCACGCGAUGCACGUGGAGCAGCUAGAAGAUCCCGAGGCUAUCCUUCAGUAGAGUAGUGGGAUAGAAGCAGCUAGGUAGCAGAGUGAGCGCCCUUGACUCUUAAUCUUCUGUAGAAGAUGAGAGGUCAACAGCGCUCGCGAAGAAGUUGAAGACGUUGGACAAGCAAAGACGUAGGGAACCAAGUGCAGAUGGCCCCAGUAGCAGUUGUGGUUACUUUCCCCUCUUAGUGUUGAUCUUGCAGUAAUUUGAAGUUCCGUGUCAGAUUUUGUUUGAGUUUUGAGUUUCUGUGGAAGAGAGAAAAGUAGGUGGUCAGAAAAGUUUAUGAGCAACUACAAUUUACGGUCAAAGGGGAAAAUGACUAGCAGGACUCCUCCGCCAGGAAACUUGCCGGAACAGGGCGCAGAAGGAGGAGAGAACGACAGUUGGAACCAGCCGAAGUACCCAAAAGAAUUGCCGUCGGAAAUUAUUUCGGGCAUAAACGUCGCCAUAGCACAAGCGCAGGAGACGCAGAGAGGAGCUAUGGCGGACACCAUCAGCAGGACGCUGCAAGAGGAGAUCCGUCGAGGAUUUAUGGAGCUGAUGGGUGCCAUAACGGAGGCAAUGACGCCCCUGCGCCAGAAGGGAGAGCUGAUCCAGGAUCUGGGCUGGGAGGAUGGUCCGAAUGGCAGAGAAGGCGGCGCGAAGGCUCCAGAAUGGCGAAGACAGAGUACCGGCACCCGACCCAAAGGUUCCGUGGAACAACAGGAGCAUAUUCCACAAGCGCCUCCGAGGAAGCCGGAGAGACUGAGCCAAUAUUGGUCACGCAGGGUGGAAGAUGGCGACCUGGAAACGAGACCGAUGGUACCUGAACGUGAACCAGCAGGAGACGGCGGAGCUCGGCGAUACACGACGCCCUACGAGAGGCGAGACGACUGGAGAGAGCCGAGAUGGGGACGCAUCGACAAAUGGGACAUCCAUUUCGACGGCGACCCAGACCCGGCCAAACUGACGGUGGAGGAUUUUGUCUUUCGGGUCGAAUUUCUCCAGAGGCAGAGUCGACGCUCGUGGGACGAAGUCCUUGAUAAUUUUCACCAUCUGGUGAGAGGACGUGCUGCCGAGUGGUACUGGCAGUUUGUAAGAGAGAGGCCUCCAGAAGUCUGGGAGGACUUAAAGGACGAGUUGGUAUCCCGAUUCCGUGCAGUAGGUGGGCAAUACGAGCGGCUGCGUGCGUUGAAUGAGCGACGGCAAGAACCUGGAGAAUCGGUGGAAGAUUACUUUCGAGCGAUGCGGAGGCUGGCUGCAAGACUGAUCACCCCAAUAGCAGAUUCUGAGAAGGUCAGAGUCGUCAAGAAGGGACUCGAGGAGGAGAUCGCUCGUUAUGUGUACGCGAUCCGAGUCCGGAACCUGGAGCAGCUGAGGGAAGAGUGUGUAGAGGUGGAGUACCUUUUCCGCAGACGCGAGCGAAGGUCAGCUUUUCGCCCGACGCUGAAGUUCCAACAAUCCGGUAAGCGAGUGGAGGAGAUCGAGCCAGAGUCGGAGGAGCUGUUGGAAGGAGAGGAAGAGGUGAUGGUUGAGGAAACCCACCUGACAGCGAAGCCGAGGCUGGGCUGCUGGAAUUUCGGGGAAGUUGGCCACGGGUUCCGAGAGUGUAUGGCCAAGGAACGCAGAGUAUUCUGCUAUCUCUGCGGAAGGCCCGAAACGUACACGCCGAAGUGUCCCAACUGCUCGGGAAACUCAAGAANAGUAUUGGACACGGAGGGGGGAAGAUGGCGACCUGGAAACGAGACGGAUGGUACCUGAACGUGAACCAGCAGGAGACGGCGGAGCUCGGCGAUACACGACGCCCUACGAGAGGCGAGACGACUGGAGAGAGCCGAGAUGGGGACGCAUCGACAAAUGGGACAUCCAUUUCGACGGCGACCCAGACCCGGCCAAACUGACGGUGGAGGAUUUUGUGUUUCGGGUCGAAUUUCUCCGGAGGCAGAGUCGACGCUCGUGGGACGAAGUCCUUGAUAAUUUUCACCAUCUGGUGAGAGGACGUGCUGCUGAGUGGUACUGGCAGUUUGUAAGAGAGAGGCCUCCAGAAGUCUGGGAGGACUUAAAGGACGAGUUGAUAUCCCGAUUCCGUACAGUAGGUGGGCAAUACGAGCGGCUGCGGGCGUUGAAUGAGCGACGGCAAGAACCUGGAGAAUCGGUGGAAGAUUACUUUCGAGCGAUGCGGAGGCUGGCUGCAAGACUGAUCACCCCAAUAGCAGAUUCUGAG
This 3160-nucleotide long non-coding RNA is filed under the name Drosophila guanche. Lineage: Eukaryota; Metazoa; Arthropoda; Insecta; Diptera; Drosophilidae. The record is from RNAcentral.